This 839-nucleotide ribosomal RNA is filed under the name uncultured bacterium. RNAcentral's name for it is "bacterial SSU rRNA". It matches the Rfam family "Bacterial small subunit ribosomal RNA", at positions 26 to 896 of the family's 1533-position model. The record is from RNAcentral.
AGAAUCAACGCUGGCGGCGCGCUUAACACAUGCAAGUCGAACGAGAAAGCGCCCUUCGGGGUGUGAGUAAAGUGGCGCACGGGUGAGUAACACGUGGGUAAUCUGCCCUUCGGUGGGGAAUAACUCCGCGAAAGUGGAGCUAAUACCGCAUACGAUCUUCGGAUGAAAGGCUUAGGUCGCCGAAGGAGGAGCCCGCGGUCGAUUAGCUUGUUGGUGAGGUAACGGCUCACCAAGGCUGCAAUCGAUAGCCGGCCUGAGAGGGCACACGGCCACACUGGCACUGAGACACGGGCCAGACUCCUACGGGAGGCAGCAGUGAGGAAUCUUGCACAAUGGGGGAAACCCUGAUGCAGCGACGCCGCGUGAGUGAUGACGCCUUUCGGGGUGUAAAGCUCUUUCAGUGGGAACGAUAAUGACGGUACCCACAGAAGAAGGUGCGGCUAACUACGUGCCAGCAGCCGCGGUAAUACGUAGGCACCAAGCGUUGUUCGGAGUUACUGGGCGUAAAGAGUGCGUAGGCGGUUUUGUAAGUUCGGUGUGAAAUCUCCCGGCUCAACUGGGAGGGUGCAUCGAAAACUGCAGAGCUUGAGCAUGGGAGAGGAAAGCGGAAUUCCUGGUGUAGCAGUGAAAUGCGUAGAUAUCAGGAGGAACACCGGCGGUGUAGACGGCUUUCUGGACCAUUGCUGACGCUGAGGCACGAAAGCGUGGGGAGCAAACAGGAUUAGAUACCCUGGUAGUCCACGCCCUAAACGAUGCAUACUUGGUGUGGGCACUUCAGUGUGUCCGUGCCGGAGCUAACGCGUUAAGUAUGCCGCCUGGGGAGUACGGUCGCAAGGCUG